UCCCUUAUAGCUCAGCUGGUAAAGAAUCUGCCUGCAAUGCAGGAGACCUGGGUUCAAUCCCUGGGUUGGGAA
Molecule: transfer RNA, 72 nt
Filed under: Ovis aries (sheep)
Lineage: Eukaryota; Metazoa; Chordata; Mammalia; Artiodactyla; Bovidae
Rfam family: tRNA
About the family: Transfer RNA (tRNA) molecules are approximately 80 nucleotides in length.
Source: Rfam by way of RNAcentral